Molecule: long non-coding RNA, 1576 nt
Organism: Numida meleagris (helmeted guineafowl)
Lineage: Eukaryota; Metazoa; Chordata; Aves; Galliformes; Numididae
Exons: 3
Source: RefSeq, a predicted model, not a curated record
CAGCUGCAGUGUAUCACCAUUAGCCUCCAGACGGAGACUCUCCCACUUCUCAUUGGCUGUGGCUGAUUGCCUUAUUAGAAGGGCUGUGCCUACAGACGGUAUAAAAAGGCAGGUCAAGGCUGGGUAGGUGCUGUGUGGGGUCCUGGGGAUGUGGAUGUCCUGUUGACAAUGGUUGUGCCUCUGUGUAAUUGCUGUCUUUCCCUUUAUGAGCAUCAGGUAUGUUAUGAUAGAUGUGGUGUACGUGUGGGUUACUGUCAAACUUAGCAGGACUAUUUUGUCUCCUUUAGAUAUUAUUUCUAGCCAUUCUGACUGGGGCCAGGCUCUUUGCAGUGGAGAGCAGUGACAAGGUAAGUGGUGACAGGCAAAAGCUCAAAGGUAGGAAGCUGUAUAUGAACUUCUGCAAGGACUUGUUUCCUAGGAGGACAAUAGACCACUGGAACAGGCUGCUCAAAAAGGUCAUGGAGUUUUUUUCUCAAGAGCUAUUCAAAACAAGCCUGGAUGUUUUUCCUGGGUGAUCUGCCGCAGGGAUCCUGCUUUACAAGGUAAGUUGAACUUGAUCUCUAGAGGUCCUCUCCAACCACCAUGAUUGUACCUGGGAGGAGGAUAUGUUGGUGACUUGCAUUCCUCCCUAGCUGGGGAGGUUAGCAAGUGAUAAGGUGUGGGUUACAAUUUGUUCUAGUGGCUUUUGUUUGGGGUGACUUUCAGGGUUUUCAUGAGACUUGGGAAGAAAUGGGGUGGCUACUGUUGAUGGGGAGGGUACGUAUUUUGUGUGGUUAGACUUCACUGUGGUUGCAUGGUUUACUUUCCUGAGAUGGACUUGUCUGUACUGGCCUGAUGGGGAUUACUUGCUGCACUGGAGCUGGUGUAGGGAUUGCCUUGAGAGGUGCUUGGGACUGUUCAGGGGUUUCUGAGAAUACUGAACUGUGGAAUACUGUUUUUUUGAGAGCUAGAGAAACCCCUGAAGUUCUUUCCUUCCUGGGAGAUACUUGAAGAAGAGCAUGGCCAUUGUCUAUCAGUAUUCCUGGUCGACUGGAGACUUGCCAACGUGACUCCUAUCCACAAGAAGGGUGGUAAGGAGGAUCUGGGGAACUACAGGCCUGUCAGUCUGACCUCGGUGCCAGGGAAGGUUAUGGAGUAGAUUGUCUUGAGAAAGCUCACACGGCAUGUGUGACACAACCAGGGGAUCAGGCCUAGCUAGCAUGGGUUUGUGAAGGGCGGGUCUUGCUUGACCAACCUAAUCUCCUUCUACAAUCUAAUGACCCAUCUGGUGGAUGAGGGGAAGGCUGUUGAUGUGAUCUACCUUGACUUCAGCAAAGCUUUCAACGCUGUCUCCCAUGGUACUCUCCUGGAGAAGUUGGCAGCCCGUGGCUUGGACACUUACACUUUUUGCUGGGUUUCUUUUUGCAGGUAGGAGCCAUAACAAAAACCUUACCUGACAUCUGGGCAAAUGCAGAUAAGGAAGAAUGAGGUAUGGUUUGAGGGAUGCACUGAUCUUGAGCUUGGAAGAAGUGACACUUAAACUCUGACCAGUUCUCUCGGACCAGUUAUCCUUCCAACACUCUAGCCCAAGGGAUAC